GCACUCGGAUACAUCUAGAAGAAGGAAGAAAAAAAGCCACAUGUGCAGGCCGCAGCGAACUGGCUGAUAAAAGAUGAUGAAUUCCCCAUCUUGAUAUCCAUCUGACAAAAUCCCAAGAGCAUAGAUCAGCAGUUUCUAUUGUCCAUGGUUUCCAACAAAAUCACCCUGCCAAAGAAAAAGAGGAAAACAAAAUCAGAAACAAAACUCUUGAGACACAAGUACAGACAAAAAGAAAUUGGUGACAUAAUGACAAACGUAAAAGGAAUAAAAUAAAAAAUAAAUAAAAAUAUACCUCUAAGUUGAAAUCGGUAACUACACGCUUGUCGGUGCUAUUCUUACUCCAGAAAUAAAGCUGAUUCAUGUAUUGAAUCCUUAUGUGUGUUAUGUCGGCUUGUGAGAAACACUUCCUCAUAUCCAUAGCUGGUUCCCAUAACUCCAUGAACUUGACAGCGAAAAUACCGCAAUCAUUCCUAAAAAAUAUUUAUUUCAUAAGAAAUAAAACAAAAAAUAAAUGAAUGAAAGCACAUGCACAACGCGGGUUUUUCAGGGGGCACUAACUCGUUGCCCUGUUUAGGCACAUGAGGGUACAUCCUUUUGAAAGUACGAAAAUCGUGUUCUUUAGUUUGAAAUAUGAUUUCCCACAAAUUGAUGAAGUUGUCGAUCUGCAUUAGAGAAAAAGAUGAAAAAAAUGCAGACUAUCGAGCACCAUAUACAUUUUACAAAAAUGUGUUGUGAGGAUACAAAAAGAAAAAAGAUCAAAUGAACACUUACCAUUUUCUCUCGUAUUGACGUGUGAAAAUUUGAAUCCUUGCCAUAAUGUGAGUCCAAGAAAGCAAAAAGCUUAUAAUGGAAAUCAACAGCGAAAACUAUCCAGUGGCCUUGAAUGACAAUAGGGAAGAACAACUGUUUUGUAUGAAAAAAAUAAAAUAUUAAGAGAACAGAAAUUUACAAACACAAAAUAAGAAUACCGAAAAUGUUAUGGACAGAAACCUGAAACAACAUACACAAAACAAAAAACAAAAAAAAGAUACUAACCCUGUCUGAAUUAUCCAGUCGUUUCCUCCUCCUUGCUGAAGCUGCCCCAACAAAAGACAACGCGAUCGUUUUUAAUUGCUUGUUGCUUCUAUAAUUCAAGAUGUUCUC
Molecule: long non-coding RNA, 1143 nt
Filed under: Hordeum vulgare
Lineage: Eukaryota; Viridiplantae; Streptophyta; Magnoliopsida; Poales; Poaceae
Description: long non-coding RNA (HVUL_LNC016934)
Source: RNAcentral